Notamacropus eugenii (tammar wallaby) is the source of this 82-nucleotide microRNA precursor. The record is from Ensembl. Lineage: Eukaryota; Metazoa; Chordata; Mammalia; Diprotodontia; Macropodidae.
UCUAUGAAUCUAGUGGAAACAUUUCUGCAAAAACUAUACUACUGAAACCAGUGUGCAGAAGUGUUUCUGCUACAUUUUCAGG